CCUUGCACACACCGCCCGUCAAGUCACGAAAGUUGGUCUUUCCCGAAGUCGCCGCGCUAACCGCAAGGAGGCAGGCGCCGAAGGAACGGUCGAUGAUUGGGACU
This 104-nucleotide ribosomal RNA is filed under the name uncultured bacterium. RNAcentral describes it as "partial 16S ribosomal RNA". It matches the Rfam family "Bacterial small subunit ribosomal RNA", at positions 1379 to 1482 of the family's 1533-position model. The record is from RNAcentral.